UACAGAGGGGGCAAGCGUUGUUCGGAAUUACUGGGCGUAAAGGGCGCGUAGGCGGCCUUCUAAGUCGAACGUGAAAUCCCCGGGCUCAACCCGGGAACUGCGUCCGAUACUGGAAGGCUUGAAUCCGGGAGUGGGAUGCGGAAUUCCAGGUGUAGCGGUGAAAUGCGUAGAUAUCUGGAGGAACACCGGUGGCGAAGGCGGCAUCCUGGACCGGUAUUGACGCUGAGGCGCGAAAGCCAGGGGAGCAAACGGG
RNAcentral lists this ribosomal RNA (253 nucleotides) under uncultured bacterium. RNAcentral's name for it is "partial 16S ribosomal RNA". It matches the Rfam family "Bacterial small subunit ribosomal RNA", at positions 524 to 776 of the family's 1533-position model. The record is from RNAcentral.